RNAcentral lists this ribosomal RNA (883 nucleotides) under uncultured bacterium. RNAcentral describes it as "bacterial SSU rRNA". It matches the Rfam family "Bacterial small subunit ribosomal RNA", at positions 12 to 871 of the family's 1533-position model. The record is from RNAcentral.
UUUGAUUCUGGGUCCAGGACGAACCGCGGGCGGCCUGCCUUAAUACGUGCAAAUUGAACGCUGAAGCAUUUUGCUUGCAGAGUGCGGAUGAGUGGGGAACGGGGGAGUAACACGUGGGAAAUCUGCCUAGGAGGGGGGGGAUAACAUUCGGAAACGGAUGCUAAUACCGCAUAUCUUUUUGAACCGCAUGGUUUUUAAACGAAAGACGGCUUCGGCUGUCGCUCUUAGAUGAUCCCGCGGCGUAUUAGUUAGUUGGUGGGGUAAAGGCCUACCAAGACCAUGAUACGUAGCCGACCUGAGAGGGUGAUCGGCCACACUGGGACUGAGACACGGCCCAGACUCCUACGGGAGGCAGCAGUAGGGAAUCUUCCACAAUGGGUGAAAACCUGAUGGAGCAAUGCCGCGUGAAUGAAGAAGGUCUUCGGAUCGUAAAGUUCUGUUAUUAGAGAAGAACAAGUCAAGGAGUAACUGUCUUGACUUUGACGGUACCUAACCAGAAAGUCACGGCUAACUACGUGCCAGCAGCCGCGGUAAUACGUAGGCGACAAGCGUUGUCCGGAAUUAUUGGGCGUAAAGGGAGCGCAGGCGGUUGGAAUAGUCUGAUGUGAAAGCCCACGGCUUAACCGUGGAAGGUCAUUGGAAACUGUCCAACUUGAAUACAGAAGAGGUAAGUGGAAUUCCAAGUGUAGCGGUGAAAUGCGUAGAUAUUUGGAGGAACACCAGUGGCGAAGGCGACUUACUGGUCUGUAAUUGACGCUGAGGCUCGAAAGCGUGGGUAGCAAACAGGGUUAGAUACCCUGGUAGUCCACGCCGUAAACGAUGAGUGCUAAGUGUUAGGGGGUUUCCGCCCCUUAGUGCUGGAGUUAACGCAUUAAGCACUCCG